Molecule: long non-coding RNA, 536 nt
Organism: Dermacentor albipictus
Lineage: Eukaryota; Metazoa; Arthropoda; Arachnida; Ixodida; Ixodidae
Source: RefSeq, a predicted model, not a curated record
GCUUAAGCUGCCUCCUGCCGCGUGAUUCUUAGCCUAUCCCUAUUAACGGAUGCGAAGCAUGGCAGAGGUGCGUCAUCUAAUCAUCAUCAGAAGAAAAUCCAAUCCAACACAAUCCCGGUAAACCUGAUUGCACAGCAGUCGUUGUCCCUAAAGCCUAACGUGGUCUUCACUGGCGUCGGCUCAAGAUGACCACGCAUCACAAGAAGCUCAUCGUGAAGAUGGGCCAGGUUGUUAUCAUCAGCCUGGCCGUCACCGAUAUCCUGCUUCUGUACUUAUACACGUCAUUGAAGAGGUGACCGCAUUUCUGGGUCCGUAGCACUGAAGGACGCGGCGAGUCAUGAAGCGCACGAACUAAAGUGUGUUCAAUUGGAACUGGCGAUGCGAAACAUCAAUGCUUGAACAGCGUCUUGCUGCAACCACUUGAAACUACGCCUUCCCGUGAAAGAUUGCAAAUAUUACUUCAUAUACAGACGACUCGAGUCUGAUUUAUGUUUGCUUCUAUUUUCAAUAUAUUUAAAGGCAGUGUGGAAACUGGA